Molecule: microRNA precursor, 92 nt
Filed under: Caenorhabditis japonica
Lineage: Eukaryota; Metazoa; Nematoda; Chromadorea; Rhabditida; Rhabditidae
Description: pre miRNA CJA48853
Rfam family: mir-233 microRNA precursor family (bases 12-82)
Source: RNAcentral
ACACAGCGACCUUCCGUCUCGCCCAUCCCUUUGCUCCAUAUCGAUUCAUGAUUAUUGAGCAAUGCGCAUGUGCGGGACGGAUUGAGCGCUGA